UGGGAGGAUGCUGUAAUGGCCCACGGGGGAUUUCCCAUGUUUCCCGUUGCCAUCUGUCCCCCACCGUGCCCGGUUUCCCGGGAGGUUCCCAGAACUCGAUCCCCAGCAGCCAAAGCGCUGAGUGUUGUAGAAAAGGGAUUUUUCCCGGGCCGAGGGGAAAGCAGUGGGAUCCCACACGAGCCCUGGGGUUGGCGUCCUCACCAUCCAGCAAAACGACUCAGAAAGGGGCUGAACUGCCCGACAUUGCCCCACUGCUUGGCAGCAGCCGCCUGACACUCCCGUGUCUUCCCCGUCAGGACGCGGCUGGCUCCCGUCCAGGUGGGACCCUGCCAGCGCUGAUGGAUGCCCGAGGUGCUGCUGUGCCACCCUGCUCCUGGCUAACCAGCACCAGUUCUUCAGUGGCAAGCUUUAUGUCCUUCUCCAGUAGCUAAAGCUGCCAGUUGAAGAACUGUUGAAUGUAGCCACUCUCUUCUCAUCACUGGGACAUUGGAUGCCAGCCAGAGCCCUGAGCGACCAGGAUGAGCCACUCUGCAGUGUCCUGUGGUUGGAAGGCUGAGGAUGAGUUCAACCAGGAUGAAGAAAGUCUCCUCGAAGCCUCCAGACAGAGCCUUGGCUGGAGGAUUGCCAAUCAGCCAUACCAGCAGGGUUGUCAAACUGUGUCCCUCCCUCAGUGGGGUGGCACUGAGCUGGGAGGUGACUAGAGGAGACUGAGAGAAGCAUUAAACGUUGUUUUGCUCAA
Cyanistes caeruleus (blue tit) is the source of this 739-nucleotide non-coding RNA. Lineage: Eukaryota; Metazoa; Chordata; Aves; Passeriformes; Paridae. The record is from RefSeq and is a predicted model, not a curated record.